Molecule: long non-coding RNA, 2306 nt
Organism: Pseudopipra pipra
Lineage: Eukaryota; Metazoa; Chordata; Aves; Passeriformes; Pipridae
Exons: 4
Source: RefSeq, a predicted model, not a curated record
UGUUAAUUUUAUGCCUUAUAUUAUGGUUUGUUACUAUAAUGUCAGUCUUUUCUCUCCUUUUUUGUUUCUUUUUAAUCUAGGUUUUGAUGAGAGCCCUCAAGGGAUUUUAAUCUUAUUAUGAUACUCACUAAUGAUGUCCUUAUAUUCCUGGGUCUCAUCAAUAGCUUGUUCCCCUUGCUGGAAGUUUCACGGAAAAGGGUUCUGAAGUUAGAACAGAUGGUGCAUCAGUCCAUUGCAGAAUUCUGUUUUCAGACAGAGGAAAACUUUAUAUUGAAGGGUCCAAGAAAAAGCACUAGUGAGACUGACAAAGAUGGCCUCUGUAAAGGAAGCUGAAGACCACUUUCUUGGACCUCAUUGCACCAACUUCUGUCAUACUUGACUUUUCAGCAGUCUAGCUACAUUCAAAAAAACCCUAUGGAAACACUGAACUUCAGGCACAUGCUGUGAAUGCUUUGAUUUCAGUGGAACCUUAAUCACAGGCUUAAAAUAUUAUGCUGAAUUUGGAUUGAAAUGCCUAAAAAAACACUCAAACAAAAUCCUACAGUCUGAUGUAGUGAAUUUCAUAGCAACACCUACAAAAUAAGGUUUGAUGCAUUAAUUUCCUUUGCAGAGAAACAGUGAUAGUGGUAUCAAAUGCCAUUCAUCAAUAAAAUAAAAACACUCUACUGAUUCCAACAUGCUAAGGUCCCUAAAUGGACUUUCAUGUGAGAUAUAUGUGUUCCUGUAGUGAUCACCAAGACAUAUAAAAUAUAAAUCAGUACACAGUAAAGCAUCUGUGACUUGGUAAGUGGUCUUUCUGUUCUACGCUCCUCUACAGUGCUGGUUAGUUAUGCCUUUGUGCCUUCCUCAGGCAUCACUGGUUUUUCUCACAUGGUGACUACAGUGACUGAGAUAAUUAACAGAGUUGCUAAUGUUUCAAAUUAAAUUAUAUCAAUUUCAGAGGAUCCAAAUUGGACUUGGAGCUUCUCAAUAGGAUGAAAAGUAAUCAAAGAAGAAGAGUGUCAAAAGUACUGGAGGGAUGGCCAGUGCUACAAAGAGGAAUGAUACAGCAGCCAGUCUGUUGUGAGUAGCUAGACCAGCUGAAUUUGCUACACAAUUCUCAAAAGUGGGUUGAAAUCCAGGGACAUGCUGGACACAUCCUACUGUCUGAUGAUCUAGUAACAGACCAGAUGGGGAAAGAGAACAAGAUAUCAAUUUGCAGCAUGGUAGGGCCCUUAGUAGGUGUUCAUACUCUUUGACCUAUUAACUGUUUCCCCUACCUCUUUCUUUACUUUUUUUUGCCACUGCUUCAUGACUAACAUCUGAAAGGCUUAUUGAGCCUUCUCCCCACCAGGCAUACAACCCCCCUUCUGUCUGCAGUCCUGGCUUGCUUAUUGAUGCUUCCAGUUAUGGAAACUAAGCUAUUUUAUAUUUUGCAGAUACUUCUUGGAAAAAAAAAAAAAAAAGAGGUGCAUGUAGUGAUUGUUUCUGUGGAUUUUCAUUUGGCCUAGGAUGAGAGAGCUCUAAGAAUCAAUUGAGGUCUGAGAGAAGCUGAUCUCCAUAGGGUGUUCAUCAAUUCUGCUAAGCCACAUCUUGCAAUAUGAGUGCAGAGACUCUCUGGUGGAAAGGUUUACUAUACUGAGUCCUAUUAACAUGCAUGGCAGUACUAUAUCUUAAGAUCAUAGCAUUUUAUUGAAAUUGCAGUAGGGAUGUCUGCCUUAUGUCAGGAAGAUAUAAGCAUCAGGGUACAUCAGUUCUGCCUUUCUUUCUCUGUGUUUAAAACACAUCUAGAUCCUUUUUAGCUCAACUCUUGGAUAAGUCCCAAGCGAUAUUUAUAAAAAGAGAGUUUCUGCAAAGAGCAGGGCUGGGCAGUAACUGCUUUCAGGGGACUGUGCACACUACAUGAUAAUAUAAGUUAGAAACAUCUGAAAACAUUGUGUCAACUCUAGCCCAACCUUGUCUAGAGAAAUAAAGCAAUUGUUUGAGAAUUUCCAUUUCUAUAUGUCACCUCUUUCUGAAGUAGCUUAGUUUAAAAUUCGCAAGAAGACAAUCCUUCUUUGUGCGUAUUCCUUCUCCUUCCCUUAAACAAAUGUUCCAGGAUUGUUACUGGGGAUGGGGAAUUCUUAAUACAAAUACUGGUUCUUUUUACAGUUUUUAGUGCUAUAGGAAUGUUUGUAAAAUAUAUCUGUCUGUGUGAGGUUAUCAGUUAUCUUUAAUCUUAAAAUCUUAUGACUGUUAGUUCUCACAACUAGAAACACUUCUGACUAUGACACUAUCUUUGUGAUUGGAAAUGCUGGAAUGAUCAGGUAAAAUAAAUUAUAUUUUCA